UUUAUGGAGAGUUUGAUCCUGGCUCAGGAUGAACGCUGGCGGCGUGCCUAAUACAUGCAAGUCGAGCGAACAGAUAAGGAGCUUGCUCCUUUGACGUUAGCGGCGGACGGGUGAGUAACACGUGGGUAACCUACCUAUAAGACUGGAAUAACUCCGGGAAACCGGGGCUAAUGCCGGAUAACAUGUUGAACCGCAUGGUUCUACAGUGAAAGACGGUCUUGCUGUCACUUAUAGAUGGACCCGCGCCGUAUUAGCUAGUUGGUGGGGUAACGGCCUACCAAGGCGACGAUACGUAGCCGACCUGAGAGGGUGAUCGGCCACACUGGAACUGAGACACGGUCCAGACUCCUACGGGAGGCAGCAGUAGGGAAUCUUCCGCAAUGGGCGAAAGCCUGACGGAGCAACGCCGCGUGAGUGAUGAAGGUCUUCGGAUCGUAAAGCUCUGUUGUUAGGGAAGAACAAAUGUGUAAGUAACUGUGCACAUCUUGACGGUACCUAACCAGAAAGCCACGGCUAACUACGUGCCAGCAGCCGCGGUAAUACGUAGGUGGCAAGCGUUAUCCGGAAUUAUUGGGCGUAAAGCGCGCGUAGGCGGUUUUUUAAGUCUGAUGUGAAAGCCCACGGCUCAACCGUGGAGGGUCAUUGGAAACUGGAAAACUUGAGUGCAGAAGAGGAAAGUGGAAUUCCAUGUGUAGCGGUGAAAUGCGCAGAGAUAUGGAGGAACACCAGUGGCGAAGGCGGCUUUCUGGUCUGCAACUGACGCUGAUGUGCGAAAGCGUGGGGAUCAAACAGGAUUAGAUACCCUGGUAGUCCACGCCGUAAACGAUGAGUGCUAAGUGUUAGGGGGUUUCCGCCCCUUAGUGCUGCAGCUAACGCAUUAAGCACUCCGCCUGGGGAGUACGGUCGCAAGACUGAAACUCAAAGGAAUUGACGGGGACCCGCACAAGCGGUGGAGCAUGUGGUUUAAUUCGAAGCAACGCGAAGAACCUUACCAAAUCUUGACAUCCUUUGACCGCUCUAGAGAUAGAGUUUUCCUCUUCGGAGGACAAAGUGACAGGUGGUGCAUGGUUGUCGUCAGCUCGUGUCGUGAGAUGUUGGGUUAAGUCCCGCAACGAGCGCAACCCUUGAACUUAGUUGCCAUCAUUCAGUUGGGCACU
Molecule: ribosomal RNA, 1157 nt
Filed under: Staphylococcus pseudintermedius
Lineage: Bacteria; Bacillati; Bacillota; Bacilli; Caryophanales; Staphylococcaceae
Description: bacterial SSU rRNA
Rfam family: Bacterial small subunit ribosomal RNA
Source: RNAcentral